This 307-nucleotide ribosomal RNA is filed under the name Salmonella enterica subsp. enterica serovar Derby. RNAcentral's name for it is "partial 23S ribosomal RNA". It matches the Rfam family "Bacterial large subunit ribosomal RNA", at positions 885 to 1190 of the family's 2925-position model. RNAcentral also lists the same sequence under 7 other names. Lineage: Bacteria; Pseudomonadati; Pseudomonadota; Gammaproteobacteria; Enterobacterales; Enterobacteriaceae. The record is from RNAcentral.
UGAAUUCAUCUCCGGGGGUAGAGCACUGUUUCGGCUAGGGGGCCAUCCCGGCUUACCAACCCGAUGCAAACUGCGAAUACCGGAGAAUGUUAUCACGGGAGACACACGGCGGGUGCUAACGUCCGUCGUGAAGAGGGAAACAACCCAGACCGCCAGCUAAGGUCCCAAAGUCAUGGUUAAGUGGGAAACGAUGUGGGAAGGCCCAGACAGCCAGGAUGUUGGCUUAGAAGCAGCCAUCAUUUAAAGAAAGCGUAAUAGCUCACUGGUCGAGUCGGCCUGCGCGGAAGAUGUAACGGGGCUAAACCAU